GGUACGGGGUGUUAGGGCACGACACCGGAGAGGGAGCCUGAGAAACGGCUACCACAUCCAAGGAUGGCAGCAGGCGCGCAAAUUACCCAAUCCCGACACGGGGAGGUAGUGACAAUAAAUAACAAUACGGGGUUCUUUAGGAUCUCGUAAUUGGAAUGAGUACAAUUUAAAUCUCUUAACGAGGAACAAUUGGAGGGCAAGUCUGGUGCCAGCAGCCGCGGUAAUUCCAGCUCCAAUAGCGUAUAUUAAAGUUGUUGCAGUUAAAAAGCUCGUAGUUGAAUUUCGGGAUCAAUAUUUCGGUCAUGCCGUUGGUAUGCACUGUUAUCAUUGAUUUCUCACCUUCUAAAGAACCGUAAUGCCAUUAAUUUGGUGUUACGGGGAAUUAGGACUGUUACCUUGAAAAAAUUAGAGUGUUUAAAGCAGGCUCACGCUUGAAUACAUUAGCAUGGAAUAAUGAAAUAGGACAUCCGAUUCUAUUUUGUUGGUUUCUAGGAUCGACGUAAUGAUUAAUAGGGAUAGUUGGGGGCAUUAGUAUUCAAUUGUCAGAGGUGAAAUUCUUGGAUUUAUUGAAGACUAACUACUGCGAAAGCAUUUGCCAAGGAUGUUUUCAUUAAUCAAGAACGAAAGUUAGGGGAUCGAAGACGAUCAGAUACCGUCGUAGUCUUAACCAUAAACUAUGCCGACUAGGGAUCGGAUGAUGUUAAUUUUUUAAUGACUCAUUCGG
This 724-nucleotide ribosomal RNA is filed under the name uncultured Glomeromycotina. Its description in RNAcentral is "SSU rRNA". It matches the Rfam family "Eukaryotic small subunit ribosomal RNA", at positions 358 to 1083 of the family's 1831-position model. Lineage: Eukaryota; Fungi; Glomeromycota. The record is from RNAcentral.